RNAcentral lists this small RNA (121 nucleotides) under Aquibium oceanicum. RNAcentral describes it as "Mesorhizobium sp. B7 Alphaproteobacterial ar14". It matches the Rfam family "Alphaproteobacterial ar14". From Rfam's summary of the family: Smr14C2 was renamed NfeR1 (Nodule Formation Efficiency RNA) highly expressed in salt stress and during the symbiotic interaction on legume roots. The record is from Rfam by way of RNAcentral. Lineage: Bacteria; Pseudomonadati; Pseudomonadota; Alphaproteobacteria; Hyphomicrobiales; Phyllobacteriaceae.
AGAAUUCCGUCGGGAUCUACCUCCUCCCAGUGAACGACGGAUAGGCCGGCACCCACCUCCUCCCGGGUGUCCGCCACACAAACGACACCCGCCGGACCUCCUCCCCCGGCGGGUGUUGUUU